RNAcentral lists this ribosomal RNA (368 nucleotides) under uncultured organism. RNAcentral's name for it is "bacterial SSU rRNA". It matches the Rfam family "Bacterial small subunit ribosomal RNA", at positions 526 to 896 of the family's 1533-position model. The record is from RNAcentral.
CGAAGGAUCCAAGCGUUGUCCGGAUUUACUGGGUUUAAAGGGUGCGUAGGUGGAAAAUUAAGUCAGUGGUGAAAGCUGGUAGCUUAACUAUCAAAUUGCCAUUGAAACUGAUUUUCUCGAGUACGGUUGAGGUAGCUGGAAUGUAACAUGUAGCGGUGAAAUGCUUAGAUAUGUUACAGAACACCGAUUGCGAAGGCAGGCUACUAAACCGUAACUGACACUGAGGCACGAAAGCGUGGGGAUCAAACAGGAUUAGAUACCCUGGUAGUCCACGCUGUAAACGUUGCAUACUCGGACUUAGCGAUAUACAGUUAGGUCCUAAGCGAAAGCAUUAAGUAUGCCACCUGGGGAGUACGGUCGCAAGAUUG